CGGGACACGUGGUAUCCUGUCUGAAUAUGGGGGGACCAUCCUCCAAGGCUAAAUACUCCUGACUGACCGAUAGUGAACCAGUACCGUGAGGGAAAGGCGAAAAGAACCCCGGCGAGGGGAGUGAAAAAGAACCUGAAACCGUGUACGUACAAGCAGUGGGAGCCUCUUAAUGGGGUGACUGCGUACCUUUUGUAUAAUGGGUCAGCGACUUAUAUUCUGUAGCAAGGUUAACCGAAUAGGGGAGCCGAAGGGAAACCGAGUCUUAACUGGGCGUUAAGUUGCAGGGUAUAGACCCGAAACCCGGUGAUCUAGCCAUGGGCAGGUUGAAGGUUGGGUAACACUAACUGGAGGACCGAACCGACUAAUGUUGAAAAAUUAGCGGAUGACUUGUGGCUGGGGGUGAAAGGCCAAUCAAACCGGGAGAUAGCUGGUUCUCCCCGAAAGCUAUUUAGGUAGCGCCUCGUGAAUUCAUCUCCGGGGGUAGAGCACUGUUUCGGCAAGGGGGUCAUCCCGACUUACCAACCCGAUGCAAACUGCGAAUACCGGAGAAUGUUAUCACGGGAGACACACGGCGGGUGCUAACGUCCGUCGUGAAGAGGGAAACAACCCAGACCGCCAGCUAAGGUCCCAAAGUCAUGGUUAAGUGGGAAACGAUGUGGGAAGGCCCAGACAGCCAGGAUGUUGGCUUAGAAGCAGCCAUCAUUUAAAGAAAGCGUAAUAGCUCACUGGUCGAGUCGGCCUGCGCGGAAGAUGUAACGGGGCUAAACCAUGCACCGAAGCUGCGGCAGCGACACUAUGUGUUGUUGGGUAGGGGAGCGUUCUGUAAGCCUGUGAAGGUGUACUGUGAGGUAUGCUGGAGGUAUCAGAAGUGCGAAUGCUGACAUAAGUAACGAUAAAGCGGGUGAAAAGCCCGCUCGCCGGAAGACCAAGGGUUCCUGUCCAACGUUAAUCGGGGCAGGGUGAGUCGACCCCUAAGGCGAGGCCGAAAGGCGUAGUCGAUGGGAA
Molecule: ribosomal RNA, 1005 nt
Filed under: Escherichia coli
Lineage: Bacteria; Pseudomonadati; Pseudomonadota; Gammaproteobacteria; Enterobacterales; Enterobacteriaceae
Description: partial 23S ribosomal RNA
Rfam family: Bacterial large subunit ribosomal RNA
Source: RNAcentral